UACGUAGGCGGAAAAUUAAGUCAGUAGUGAAAUCCUGCAGCUUAACUGUAGAACUGUUAUUGAUACUGGUUUUCUUGAAUAUAGUUGAGGUAGGCGGAAUGUGUAAUGUAGCGGUGAAAUGCUUAGAUAUUACACAGAACACCGAUUGCGAAGGCAGCUUACUAAGCUAUGAUUGACGCUGAGGUACGAAAGCGUGGGGAGCGAACAGGAUUAGAUACCCUGGGUAGUCC
RNAcentral lists this ribosomal RNA (230 nucleotides) under uncultured bacterium. RNAcentral's name for it is "partial 16S ribosomal RNA". It matches the Rfam family "Bacterial small subunit ribosomal RNA", at positions 568 to 796 of the family's 1533-position model. The record is from RNAcentral.